UACGUAGGGUGCAAGCGUUGUCCGGAAUUAUUGGGCGUAAAGAGCUCGUAGGCGGUUUGUCGCGUCUGCUGUGAAACCCGAGGCUCAACCUCGGGCCUGCAGUGGGUACGGGCAGACUAGAGUGCGGUAGGGGAGAUUGGAAUUCCUGGUGUAGCGGUGGAAUGCGCAGAUAUCAGGAGGAACACCAAUGGCGAAGGCAGAUCUCUGGGCCGUAACUGACGCUGGAGGAAGCGGAAAGCAUGGGGAGCGAACAGG
This 255-nucleotide ribosomal RNA is filed under the name uncultured bacterium. RNAcentral describes it as "partial 16S ribosomal RNA". It matches the Rfam family "Bacterial small subunit ribosomal RNA", at positions 524 to 776 of the family's 1533-position model. The record is from RNAcentral.